AAACCCAAUUUGAAACUUCUUUCAUUCCAAUUAUGAAAAGAUAUGAUGGUAUGCCUCUGCUGCUAGUUCAUGGAUACCUAUGGUUUCAUAACAACAUGUGUUUGAAGUCAAGGGUUUGCAUGAACUAGGAGAUGAGUUACCUUGAUUUUUUGGUAUUGGAGUGAAGGAAGUUCCAAAUGGUAUCACA
RNAcentral lists this microRNA precursor (187 nucleotides) under Phaseolus vulgaris (common bean). Its description in RNAcentral is "pre miRNA MIR159". It matches the Rfam family "MIR159 microRNA precursor family". The record is from Rfam by way of RNAcentral. Lineage: Eukaryota; Viridiplantae; Streptophyta; Magnoliopsida; Fabales; Fabaceae.